Triticum aestivum (bread wheat) is the source of this 1581-nucleotide long non-coding RNA. RefSeq lists it as uncharacterized. The record is from RefSeq and is a predicted model, not a curated record. The transcript is spliced from 2 exons. Lineage: Eukaryota; Viridiplantae; Streptophyta; Magnoliopsida; Poales; Poaceae.
AUGUGCAGGGAGGAACGACCAGUGGACACCUUGCUACUGCUCGGGGACGAAGCGGCCAUGGAGAUUCCUCCUCUGCUCCCAAGUCCUUAAUCUGUCGCAAUUAAGAUUGGCACUUCCUACAUCCCUCCUUUAGUUGCUUAGUCACUAGACACACGCAGCUAGGUUUUCUUUGGUUCAUUGAUAUGGUUCAUCUUCAUCAUGAUGGAUGUGCCCUCACAACCAAAAGGAUCAACAUACCUCCAUGGAGAUUAUUUAAUAACCUAGGUAAGGAUAAAACUAUAAAACUAAAUAGGACACACCUACAGUACGACACCAAUACAGCGGCUCAAGUCUGAACUAAUUAACUGGCGGCUGAUGAUUUCAGUGAAAGAACUCUUUGUUUUUACUUUUUUAUUUUCUUGGUGUAUCCGCAGAUUGCACCGUUUUUCUGUAUGAGAGGCACUAUUAGAGCCACCAUAAUAAUUCUAGAAGAGAGUUUUAAAGAACCAUCUGAUGUGUUAGCCAAUCAAAUGUAGGGUGUUACAUUAUAGAUUGGUUCGAGAGAGAGUUGGUUCAGUACUAUAGGCUUGUGCGUGACAACAGAAAUAUAUUAAUCCAAGUGGACAUUGUUUUCCUCCAGAAACAAGGUAGAUCCAUCUGGGAUGUGACAACGAAGUGCUGAGCAAAGAAGUGGCUUGGUGGGGAUGGCAUGCUUAAUUUGAUCUACUUUAAAUUAUCAUGCACCUUCUUUCCUUUUACUUAUUAGUUCUCUCCCUGAAGCUAGAAAGACACCGUGACAUGCAAAUUUGAUCCUAUCAACCUCAAGAAUUAUCUUUUCCUUCUAAAUGUCCCAGCAGAAGAUAAGAUUUGGCUUCACUGAUGUAAAUAAUUCUAAGAGGUUUGCAUCCUUCCUUUUUACUUAUGUACAUUAUUGAUGAUGGUGCUACCUAUGCACAUAUUCAGGUUGCAGCUAUAUUCAUUGUAAGCAGAAGUUUUUUUUGAAGAGCUAUCUUUCGGGCACAUGCUCAGUUUCAGAUGACUAAAAAACUGGCUUGGUUCAGUUUGCUAACCAGCAGGAGAACAGAAGAGAAGUGGUACUGUCACUCACAUUGCCGGCAAGGUCGUCAGUGAGGCGGUGCCGCGUGGGAGAGGAAGUCAUAGGGGGUCGCUAGAUCUCACAGGGAAGAUCAGGGGAGAGAGGAGCUACCGCGCAUCCGUGCCAAAUCUGACAGACGGCCAUGCUUUUGUGCUAGGUCUGGGUGCCACGGCUGAGGUUCUGUGGAGGAGCAUGUGACACACAAAGCACGAGUAGAUGGAGUGGAGGUGUAGGGAGCACCGGGAGGUAGCUUCGUCCUUACCACGGGCGCUGGUUGGAGAAAAGAAAGGGUGGCGCUGGGUGGUGAAAUAACACGAGGAAGAAAGAGGAGCUCCCGGUGGGAUUGGGGAUUUGGUACUGUUGUUGCUGUAGAUAUUGUACUUUGGCAUCCACUAGAAGUUGCUAUACAUGCACUCGCAUUGAUUUUUUUUCAAAGACAACAUGCCUACUUUUGAAUUCCACCAACAACAUUGUCGGUGAUGUAAUAUUUUAAAUGUUAAUGUCCA